This 820-nucleotide ribosomal RNA is filed under the name uncultured bacterium. RNAcentral describes it as "bacterial SSU rRNA". It matches the Rfam family "Bacterial small subunit ribosomal RNA", at positions 28 to 879 of the family's 1533-position model. The record is from RNAcentral.
AGCGAACGCUGGCGGCAUGCUUAACACAUGCAAGUCGAACGAAGGCCCGGGGCUUGCCCCGGUUACCUUAGUGGCGAACGGGUGAGUAACGCGUGGGAAUCUGCCCUACGGUGGGGAAUAACAGCUGGAAACGGCUGCUAAUACCGCAUACGCUCUACGGAGGAAAGGCUUCGGCCGCCGUUGGAGGGUCCCGCGUCCGAUUAGCUUGUUGGUGAGGUAAUGGCUCACCAAGGCCGCGAUCGGUAGCUGGUCUGAGAGGACGAUCAGCCACACUGGGACUGUGACACGGCCCAGACUCCUACGGGAGGCAGCAGUGGGGAAUAUUGGACAAUGGGGGAAACCCUGAUCCAGCAAUGCCGCGUGAGUGAAGAAGGCCUUAGGGUUGUAAAACUCUUUCACCCGUGAAGAUGUUGACGGUAGCGGGAGAAGAAGCUCCGGCUAACUCCGUGCCAGCAGCCGCGGUAAUACGGAGGGGGCAAGCGUUGCUCGGAAUUACUGGGCGUAAAGCGCGCGUAGGCGGUGCACAUAGUCAGGCGUGAAAGCCCCGGGCUUAACCCGGGAACUGCGUUUGAUACUGGUGUGCUAGAAUCCGAAAGAGGGCAGUGGAAUUCCCAGUGUAGAGGUGAAAUUCGUAGAUAUUGGGAAGAACACCAGAGGCGAAGGCGGCUGCCUGGUUCGGUAUUGACGCUGAGGUGCGAAAGCGUGGGGAGCGAACAGGAUUAGAUACCCUGGUAGUCCACGCCGUAAACGAUGAGUGCUAGUUGUUGGGCAGCAUGCUGCUCGGUGACGCCGCUAACGCUUUAAGCACUCCGCCUGGGGA